AGAGUUUGUAGUCCUGGCGUCAGGAUGAACGCUGGCGGCGUGCUUAACACAUGCAAGUCGAGCGAAAUAAUUGAGUAGCUUGCUUUUGAUAUUUUAGUCGGCGGACGGGUGAGUAACGUGUGGGCAACCACCUUUUACUGUGGAAUAAUACGUUGGAACGACGACUAAUACCGCAUACGAUUUCUGAAGGCAUCUUGGAAAGAAAGGAAAUAUUCGGUAAAGAUGGCCGCAUCUGAUUAGCUAGUUGGUGAGAUAAUAGCCCACCAAGGCAACGAUCAGUAGCCGACCUGAGAGGGUGACCGGCCACAUUGGGACUGAGACACGGCCCAAACUCCUACGGGAGGCAGCAGUGGGGAAUAUUGCACAAUGGGCGAAAGCCUGAUGCAGCAACGCCGCGUGAAGGAAGACGGUUUUCGGAUUGUAAACUUCUAUCAAUGGGGAAGAAAGAAAUGACGGUACCUAAAUAAGAAGCCCCGGCUAACUACGUG
RNAcentral lists this ribosomal RNA (488 nucleotides) under uncultured Eubacteriales bacterium. Its description in RNAcentral is "bacterial SSU rRNA". It matches the Rfam family "Bacterial small subunit ribosomal RNA", at positions 1 to 507 of the family's 1533-position model. The record is from RNAcentral. Lineage: Bacteria; Bacillati; Bacillota; Clostridia; Eubacteriales.